Molecule: long non-coding RNA, 1278 nt
Filed under: Apteryx haastii (Great spotted kiwi)
Lineage: Eukaryota; Metazoa; Chordata; Aves; Apterygiformes; Apterygidae
Description: lncRNA (ENSAHAG00000019568.1)
Source: RNAcentral
AUGACUCGGGGAGGGGCCACGCCGCCUCGGGGGCCGCGGCUCCCGCCUCAGGGAUGGCAGCUCCGCUUCACAGGCUCCCGCCUCAGGGGUCGUCGCCUCACGGGCCGCGGCUCCCGCCUCAGGGGUCAUAGCCUCAGGGGCUCCCGCCUCACGGGCUGCGGCUCCCGCCUCAGGGGUCGUCGCCUCAGGGACGGCGGCUCCCGCCUCAGGGGUCGUCGCCUCAGGGACGGCGGCUCCCGCCUCGGGGGUCGUCGCCUCACGCGCCGCGGCUCCCGCCUCAGGGCCGCCCCCUCACGGGCCGGGGAGGAGCCGCCGCCUGAGGCACCGCCCGCCGCCCCCGCCCGGGCGGCGCGGCCCGUCUCCCAGGUAGCUCCCUCCUCCUCCUCCUCCCCGCCGCCGCUGCCUCCUCCCUCCUUCCUUCCUUCCCUCCCUCCUCGCCCUGCCCCUCCGCGCACUCGCUCCGCGGCAGGCAGGCAGGCAGGCAGGCGGGCGGGCUGCGCGCAGCUCCGAGGUGCCGGCGCCGGUCCUCGCUGUCAUGGCUGCGGUGGGUGCUGCCGCGGGGCGGCUCGGCGGGGGCGGCCGGGGCCGGGGCCGGGGCGGGGGCGGUUGCUGUGGCGGGGGGGAGCGCGGCGGUGCCGGUGGCGCGACCUUGAUGUCUUCGCCUUUCCCGGGGCAGGUGACGAGGGGCACGGCGACGCGCCGCAGCCGCCUGAAGCGCUCCGACGGCAGCACCACCUCCACCAGCUUCAUCCUGCGGCAGGUGAGGCCGGGGCGCGGCCGCGGGGCGGUGCGGAGCGGAGCGGAGCGGGGCGGAACGGGGCGACCCGGCCCCGGCCCCGGCCCCGGCCCCGUGCGCGCCCUCGGGGCCGCCGCGCUUUGCUCCGCUGCGCUCCGCCGCCCGGAGCCUUCCUGCCCUCGACCGCGGCGUCGUGCGCGGCGCGGGGUCUCGGCGGCGCCCGCAGGCAUCUGCUGGGCUCCUCGUGGCUUUAUGCCUCCUCCUUCACUUAUCUAUCUCCCCCGGAAUGCGUAAAAUCGCAACUUAUUUUCAUACCCGGUGUCAGGCCAGCGUGCUCCGCCUUCCCUGCUGAAAUCCUGGUUUUGGGGGGGUUUUUUUGUUUUUGUUUUUCCCCCUCCUUACACAGCCUAAACAUCGUUUGCGGGAGCGGCGGGUUCUGGCUUCCCCGGCUCGCGCCGUGGAGCGCAAACGCAGCGAAAACUGGAACCAGCGCCCAGGAGUUAUUGGCCUUUUUUUUUUUUUUUUUUUUAUCAUUCUCGUAA